Molecule: ribosomal RNA, 264 nt
Filed under: uncultured bacterium
Lineage: Bacteria
Description: partial 16S ribosomal RNA
Rfam family: Bacterial small subunit ribosomal RNA
Source: RNAcentral
GUCCACGCCCUAAACUAUGUCAACUAGACGUUGGCCCCUUUAAUGGGGUUAGUGUCGAAGCUAACGCGUUAAGUUGACCGCCUGGGGAGUACGGCCGCAAGGUUGAAACUCAAAGGAAUUGACGGGGGCCCGCACAAGCGGUGGAGCAUGUGGUUUAAUUCGAUGCAACGCGAAGAACCUUACCAGCCCUUGACAUCCUGGGAACUUUGUAGAGAUACAUUGGUGCCUUCGGGAAUCCAGUGACAGGUGCUGCAUGGCUGUCGU